AGAGAAAAUGAAGGAAGGAGAAAAAGUGAGAAACCUUGAGCCACCGCUGCCCCGCCAAACCCGCCAUUGUCGCCACCCCCGUCGAACCCAGCUACAGUCGCCCUCCGUUGCUGCUGCCCCGUCGGAAGCUAUCUAACCCAAAUAUCCUCUGAAGACAUCAGGUGGGAGGGUGAGGAAUCUGGAAUUUCCCACAGAGGUGAUCGAGCUGGUCAAGGUCGUGGUUUUAAGAAGUCUUUCAGCCCGUGGUGGGGCUGUUAGUGGCGCAGGAAGAGGUUGUGGAACCUUAAAGAGCCAGCCUAAGAAGACUUUACGUUUUCCCCAGAAUGGCAUUGGAAGAAAAGGAUUGACAGAUAUCCAGUUACUUCAUACUGAUACUCUAAUUAAAGAGGUUGAGAAAGUUUUAGUGCUAAUCAUCCUGAUCCAGCAGAGGUUGAGAAAGCCAAGAAAGUCUUGAAAGCAAUAAAUAUAUAAAAGGCAACCUUUAAUUUUCUAUUUGCACAAAUGUUAUAUGGGAAUUUAUUUGAACGCGUUAUUGUGUUGUGCAGGAGCAUGAACAAGCAUUGAUGGAAGCCAUUGGUAGGCUUCAGGAUGCAUCUGAUGGUGAAAGUGAUGGGGGAGAGAAUCCCUUUUCACAAGGACAAUCCAUGGACCGAGAGCAAGGAUGGAGGAAACAGCAGUAUGAUGAGAUGGGUGGCGAAGGUUAAUGGCAAAUGGGAGAAAGCGUGGCAUGGUACCUCAAGAGAAUGCAACCUCGUAUAUCGAGUAUGAUGAUGAUGGUAAUAGGAUAAAC
Long non-coding RNA from Beta vulgaris subsp. vulgaris (sugar beet), 790 nucleotides. RefSeq lists it as uncharacterized. The record is from RefSeq and is a predicted model, not a curated record. Lineage: Eukaryota; Viridiplantae; Streptophyta; Magnoliopsida; Caryophyllales; Amaranthaceae. The transcript has 5 exons.